Molecule: long non-coding RNA, 203 nt
Filed under: Elaeis guineensis (African oil palm)
Lineage: Eukaryota; Viridiplantae; Streptophyta; Magnoliopsida; Arecales; Arecaceae
Description: long non-coding RNA (EGUI_LNC063258)
Source: RNAcentral
UACCUCUUGGAGACUCGCGACUUCGACGAUCUUCUCCUUGAGGCGGGCGGCCUCAGCCAGGCGACCUUCCUUCGCCUGGGCGGCCUCCUUCCUAGCAUUGUUCAUCGACUCGAUGUUAGUGAUGAGCUGGUGUCCAAUCUACAGGAGCGGCCAGGGAGUCAAUAUAAAAGCUGAGGAAUAAGCUAAGCAAAGAGGCGAGAAGA